RNAcentral lists this transfer RNA (67 nucleotides) under Macropharyngodon negrosensis (yellowspotted wrasse). RNAcentral describes it as "tRNA-Cys". Lineage: Eukaryota; Metazoa; Chordata; Actinopteri; Labriformes; Labridae. The record is from RNAcentral.
AGCCUUGAGGUGUUGUCACAUAUCGGAUUGCAAAUCUGAAGUAGUCGGCUAACGCCGACCAGGGCUU